Molecule: ribosomal RNA, 458 nt
Filed under: uncultured bacterium
Lineage: Bacteria
Description: partial 16S ribosomal RNA
Rfam family: Bacterial small subunit ribosomal RNA
Source: RNAcentral
CCUCCGGGUUGCUUCCUUUCUUCCUCUUGUUCCCUUUUCUAUCUCCUUACCCCGCCCCGUCUCGUGAGGGAGUACUGCCCUAUGGGUUGUAAACCUCUUUUGUCGGGGAGCAAAAGCCGGACGUGUCCGGCUGUGAGAGUACCCGAAGAAAAAGCAUCGGCUAACUCCGUGCCAGCAGCCGCGGUAAUACGGAGGAUGCGAGCGUUAUCCGGAUUUAUUGGGUUUAAAGGGUGCGCAGGCGGAUUUUUAAGUCAGCGGUCAAAUCGUGGGGCUCAACCCCAUCCAGCCGUUGAAACUGGGGAUCUAGAGUGUGCGAGAGGUAUGCGGAAUGCGUGGUGUAGCGGUGAAAUGCAUAGAUAUCACGCAGAACCCCGAUUGUGAAGGCAGCAUACCGGUGCACAACUGACGCUCAGGCACGAAAGCGUGGGUAUCGAACAGGAUUAGAUACCCCAGUAGUC